Molecule: transfer-messenger RNA, 376 nt
Filed under: Microbacteriaceae bacterium
Lineage: Bacteria; Bacillati; Actinomycetota; Actinomycetes; Micrococcales; Microbacteriaceae
Rfam family: transfer-messenger RNA
About the family: Bacterial tmRNA, also known as 10Sa RNA or SsrA, is named for its dual tRNA and mRNA-like properties.
Source: RNAcentral
GGGGAUGAUCGGUUUCGACAUUGCCUGAGCAACUGUGAGAAGCGGGUCGAGGAUGCAGGGUUAUCUCGUUAACGAUCUCUGCAAAAUAUAAGUGCCAAUUCAAAGCGCACUGACUUCGCCCUCGCUGCCUAAGCGAGCGCACUAAAGAAGUCCGUCGGUCCGGGAAUGCUCUCUACCCGGUCACCGGCGCAAUCUUAGAGAGCUUGUUCCGUCGUUCCGCCUUGGGGCGCCGGGAGACUUAAACCAGGGCUGGGCUUGUCGGAUUAGGUGCCAGUGGCAAAUUCCGGAGCCGAGUAGAACGAUUUCACUGGAUACACCCGUAGAAGGCACAGAAACACAGCAGUGGACGGGGGUUCAAUUCCCCCCAUCUCCACCA